This 69-nucleotide transfer RNA is filed under the name Ictidomys tridecemlineatus (thirteen-lined ground squirrel). RNAcentral describes it as "Spermophilus tridecemlineatus (thirteen-lined ground squirrel) tRNA". It matches the Rfam family "tRNA". From Rfam's summary of the family: Transfer RNA (tRNA) molecules are approximately 80 nucleotides in length. The record is from Rfam by way of RNAcentral. Lineage: Eukaryota; Metazoa; Chordata; Mammalia; Rodentia; Sciuridae.
GGGGUUGUAGCUCAGUGGUAGAGCGCUUGCCUUGUAUGUGUGAGGCUGUGAAUUCAGUCCCCAGCACCA